This is a non-coding RNA of Plutella xylostella (diamondback moth), 378 nucleotides long. The record is from RefSeq and is a predicted model, not a curated record. NCBI's taxonomy places the organism in Eukaryota, Metazoa, Arthropoda, Insecta, Lepidoptera, Plutellidae.
GAUUGCAAACCAGUCUCCCUAGAUAUUCAAAGGAGUUGACGGACAAUUUGAUUGAAGACUUUAGCUCCAUGAAACUAGCUGAUUUUAGCGUAACAAAUAAGGUUUUUACUGCGUUGCAACUGGCUCCAGACUGGAAUUUAUAACCAAGACUAAAUAUUCAAGUGCCUAUCUGAAGUACUUAACAACAAGUUGUAUUAAGAUCUUAUGAAGUUAAUACCUACCUACAUAAGAAACUAAAUUGGCAUAUCAUUCUGCUACUGAAUAAUCAAGAAGCAGUUUUUUAGCUAAUAGAAGAGAACCUUAUGCUUGAUAUUUCAGAACACUAAUAAUAAUUGUGAUGUGAUUUAAUAUGAUACUUAAUAAAUACAAAAUACAGCA